GCCGCCGCACACUCCCCGCUCGCCGGAUCUUCCGAGCACGUCACCUCUGCGUUCUUUAUGCUCUCCACCACCUUCUCCGAUAUCCGGUCUGGUGCGGCUGCCACCGUUCCAACUGCGCUCAUCCGACCGGAUGUCCACCGCUUCCAUGGGUAGCUGAGCCGUGAGGAUCGGAGGACCGGCAACUCGAUUUUUGGCGAGUCAGUCACUGCUUUCGAGGCCGCCAUAGAAGAACCGGUGAUCGCUGCCAUUUUCUUUUCUUUUCUUUUUUGUUUCUUGAUCGGAGAAUGGAGCGGUGGACUGGACAAUAGAUCAGA
Molecule: long non-coding RNA, 314 nt
Filed under: Cucumis sativus (cucumber)
Lineage: Eukaryota; Viridiplantae; Streptophyta; Magnoliopsida; Cucurbitales; Cucurbitaceae
Description: long non-coding RNA (CSAT_LNC002886)
Source: RNAcentral